GAUGAACGCCGGCGGCGUGCCUAAUACAUGCAAGUCGAGCGAACAGACGAGGAGCUUGCUCCUCUGACGUUAGCGGCGGACGGGUGAGUAACACGUGGAUAACCUACCUAUAAGACUGGGAUAACUUCAGGAAACCGGAGCUAAUACCGGAUAAUAUAUUGAACCGCAUGGUUCAAUAGUGAAAGACGGUUUUGCUGUCACUUAUAGAUGGAUCCGCGCCGCAUUAGCUAGUUGGUAAGGUAACGGCUUACCAAGGCAACGAUGCGUAGCCGACCUGAGAGGGUGAUCGGCCUCACUGGAACUGAGACACGGUCCAGACUCCUACGGGAGGCAGCAGUAGGGAAUCUUCCGCAAUGGGCGAAAGCCUGACGGAGCAACGCCGCGUGAGUGAUGAAGGUCUUCGGAUCGUAAAACUCUGUUAUUAGGGAAGAACAAAUGUGUAAGUAACUAUGCACGUCUUGACGGUACCUAAUCAGAAAGCCACGGCUAACUACGUG
This 497-nucleotide ribosomal RNA is filed under the name uncultured bacterium. Its description in RNAcentral is "partial 16S ribosomal RNA". It matches the Rfam family "Bacterial small subunit ribosomal RNA", at positions 28 to 507 of the family's 1533-position model. The record is from RNAcentral.